CGCGAUUCGCCCUUCGGGGUGCAGCAGGCGCGAAAACUUUACAAUGCUGGAAACAGCGAUAAGGGGACCUCGAGUGCCAGGUUACAAAUCUGGCUGUCGUGAUGCCUAAAAAGCAUUGCAUAGCAAGGGCCGGGCAAGACCGGUGCCAGCCGCCGCGGUAACACCGGCGGCUCGAGUGGUAACCGUUAUUAUUGGGUCUAAAGGGUCUGUAGCCGGCCGGAUAAGCCUCUUGGGAAAUCUGGCAGCUUAACUGUCAGGCUUUCAGGAGAUACUGUCUGGCUCGAGGCCGGGAGAGGUGAGAGGUACUUCAGGGGUAGGGGUGAAAUCUUGUAAUCCUUGAAGGACCACCAGUGGCGAAGGCGUCUCACCAGAACGGACCUGACGGCAAGGGACGAAAGCUAGGGGCACGAACCGGAUUAGAUACCCGGGUAGUCCUAGCCGUAAACGAUACUCGCUAGGUGUCGGCCACGGUGCGACCGUUGUCGGUGCCGUAGGGAAGCCGUGAAGCGAGCCACCUGGGAAGUACGGCCGCAAGGCUGAAACUUAAAGGAAUUGGCGGGGGAGCAC
This 567-nucleotide ribosomal RNA is filed under the name uncultured archaeon. RNAcentral describes it as "bacterial SSU rRNA". It matches the Rfam family "Archaeal small subunit ribosomal RNA", at positions 312 to 879 of the family's 1478-position model. The record is from RNAcentral.